UGGGGAAUAUUGGACAAUGGGGGCAACCCUGAUCCAGCCAUGCCGCGUGGGUGAAGAAGGCCUUAGGGUUGUAAAACCCUUUCAGCGGGGAAGAUGAUGACGGUACCCGCAGAAGAAGCCCCGGCUAACUCCGUGCCAGCAGCCGCGGUAAUACGGAGGGGGCUAGCGUUGUUCGGAAUUACUGGGCGUAAAGGGCGUGUAGGCGGUUUGCCAAGUCAGGCGUGAAAGCCCCGGGCUUAACCUGGGAACUGCGUUUGAGACUGGCAGGCUAGAGGUUGGAAGAGGAGAGUGGAAUUCCCAGUGUAGAGGUGAAAUUCGUAGAUAUUGGGAAGAACACCAGUGGCGAAGGCGGCUCUCUGGUCCAUACCUGACGCUGAGGCGCGAAAGCGUGGGGAGCAAA
Molecule: ribosomal RNA, 400 nt
Filed under: uncultured bacterium
Lineage: Bacteria
Description: bacterial SSU rRNA
Rfam family: Bacterial small subunit ribosomal RNA
Source: RNAcentral